GCCGCGUGACAAUCGGUGCAUCUCCCCCAGAAACGCCGCGUGACAAUCGGCUUAAUAAUGCUUCAGUGUGUGGUACUCCUCAAAACACGGGACAGCACACAAGGGAGUGUUGCAUGGCACACACAUGUGCUUGGUGAGGCGCCUCUGCUUGCCCUUGCGUGUGCUGGAGAGGCAGACCUUGCAGUGCCGCCUGGUCUUGCUGCCCUGGGAAGUGGUCUGAGGGACUUCAGAUGGGAAAUGCCUGGCUGUAAGGCGCAGAGGAGUGUCCAAGGCAGGACGCCCGCCUUUGGUUGGACCUCGCAAUGUGCUGUACUCCUCCAGCAGCCCUCUCAUCAGCACACAGACUGGCUUCAUCAUUGGUUGCCCAGUGAGGUGAUCCAGCUUGCCUGUGGCUGCCAUACCAGUUGGAUGGAC
Molecule: long non-coding RNA, 414 nt
Organism: Carassius carassius (crucian carp)
Lineage: Eukaryota; Metazoa; Chordata; Actinopteri; Cypriniformes; Cyprinidae
Exons: 3
Source: RefSeq, a predicted model, not a curated record